GGAAAGGCGAAAAGAACCCCGGCGAGGGGAGUGAAAAAGAACCUGAAACCGUGUACGUACAAGCAGUGGGAGCACAGAGCAAUCUGUGUGACUGCGUACCUUUUGUAUAAUGGGUCAGCGACUUAUAUUCUGUAGCAAGGUUAACCGAAUAGGGGAGCCGAAGGGAAACCGAGUCUUAACUGGGCGUUAAGUUGCAGGGUAUAGACCCGAAACCCGGUGAUCUAGCCAUGGGCAGGUUGAAGGUUGGGUAACACUAACUGGAGGACCGAACCGACUAAUGUUGAAAAAUUAGCGGAUGACUUGUGGCUGGGGGUGAAAGGCCAAUCAAACCGGGAGAUAGCUGGUUCUCCCCGAAAGCUAUUUAGGUAGCGCCUCGUGAAUUCAUCUCCGGGGGUAGAGCACUGUUUCGGCAAGGGGGUCAUCCCGACUUACCAACCCGAUGCAAACUGCGAAUACCGGAGAAUGUUAUCACGGGAGACACACGGCGGGUGCUAACGUCCGUCGUGAAGAGGGAAACAACCCAGACCGCCAGCUAAGGUCCCAAAGUCAUGGUUAAGUGGGAAACGAUGUGGGAAGGCCCAGACAGCCAGGAUGUUGGCUUAGAAGCAGCCAUCAUUUAAAGAAAGCGUAAUAGCUCACUGGUCGAGUCGGCCUGCGCGGAAGAUGUAACGGGGCUAAACCAUGCAC
RNAcentral lists this ribosomal RNA (687 nucleotides) under Escherichia coli. Its description in RNAcentral is "partial 23S ribosomal RNA". It matches the Rfam family "Bacterial large subunit ribosomal RNA", at positions 508 to 1194 of the family's 2925-position model. Lineage: Bacteria; Pseudomonadati; Pseudomonadota; Gammaproteobacteria; Enterobacterales; Enterobacteriaceae. The record is from RNAcentral.